This 84-nucleotide transfer RNA is filed under the name Elusimicrobiota bacterium. RNAcentral's name for it is "tRNA-Leu". It matches the Rfam family "tRNA". Rfam says of the family: Transfer RNA (tRNA) molecules are approximately 80 nucleotides in length. Their secondary structure includes four short double-helical elements and three loops (D, anti-codon, and T loops). Further hydrogen bonds mediate the characteristic L-shaped molecular structure. tRNAs have two regions of fundamental functional importance: the anti-codon, which is responsible for specific mRNA codon recognition, and the 3' end, to which the tRNAs corresponding amino acid is attached (by aminoacyl-tRNA synthetases). tRNAs cope with the degeneracy of the genetic code in two manners: having more than one tRNA (with a specific anti-codon) for a particular amino acid; and 'wobble' base-pairing, i.e. permitting non-standard base-pairing at the 3rd anti-codon position. Lineage: Bacteria; Pseudomonadati; Elusimicrobiota. The record is from RNAcentral.
GCGAGAGUGGCGGAACUGGCAGACGCACUAGACUUAGGAUCUAGCGCCUUUGGCGUGUGGGUUCAACUCCCACCUCUCGCACCA